Molecule: ribosomal RNA, 431 nt
Filed under: uncultured bacterium
Lineage: Bacteria
Description: partial 16S ribosomal RNA
Rfam family: Bacterial small subunit ribosomal RNA
Source: RNAcentral
AACGAACGCUGGCGGCAGGCUUAACACAUGCAAGUCGAACGCCCCGCAAGGGGAGUGGCCGACGGGUGAGUAACGCGUGGGAACAUACCCUUUUCUACGGAAUAGCUCUGGGAAACUGGAAUUAAUACCGUAUACGCCCUACGGGGGAAAGAUUUAUCGGGGAAGGAUUGGCCCGCGUUGGAUUAGCUAGUUGGUGGGGUAAAGGCCUACCAAGGCGACGAUCUAUAGCUGGUCUGAGAGGAUGAUCAGCCACAUUGGGACUGAGACACGGCCCAAACUCCUACGGGAGGCAGCAGUGGGGAAUAUUGGACAAUGGGCGCAAGCCUGAUCCAGCCAUGCCGCGUGAGUGAUGAAGGCCUUAGGGUUGUAAAGCUCUUUCACCGAUGAAGAUAAUGACGGUAGUCGGAGAAGAAGCCCCGGCUAACUUCGUG